UAGGGAAUCUUCCACAAUGGACGCAAGUCUGAUGGAGCAACGCCGCGUGAGUGAAGAAGGUUUUCGGACCGUAAAGCUCUGUUGUUGGUGAAGAAGGAUAGAGGUAGUAACUGGCCUUUAUUUGACGGUAAUCAACCAGAAAGUCACGGCUAACUACGUGCCAGCAGCCGCGGUAAUACGUAGGUGGCAAGCGUUGUCCGGAUUUAUUGGGCGUAAAGCGAGCGCAGGCGGAAGAAUAAGUCUGAUGUGAAAGCCCUCGGCUUAACCGAGGAAUUGCAUCGGAAACUGUUUUUCUUGAGUGCAGAAGAGGAGAGUAGAACUCCAUGUGUAGCGGUGGAAUGCGUAGAUAUAUGGAAGAAUACCAGUGGCGAAGGCGGCUCUCUGGUCUGCAACUGACGCUGAGGCUCGAAAGCAUGGGUAGCGAACAGGAUUAGAUACCCUGGUAGUCCAUGCCGUAAACAAUGAGUGCUAAGUGUUGGGAGGCUUCCGCCUCUCAGUGCUGCAGCUAACGCAUUAAGCACUCCGCCUGGGGGAGUACGACCGCAAGGUUGAAAC
Molecule: ribosomal RNA, 555 nt
Filed under: uncultured bacterium
Lineage: Bacteria
Description: partial 16S ribosomal RNA
Rfam family: Bacterial small subunit ribosomal RNA
Source: RNAcentral